GGAAGGAUCAUUAACACUGUGACAUUUGUUCACCAACAAAUGUUCUCCCCUUGUUGAACUUGUUUUAUCGACUGCGAGACCUCUUCGGGGGUUUCGUUGUGGUGAUGGAUCAUUCGGGAGAUGCGCUUCGCGGCGCACUCGAUGUAGAUCUCCUCGCCCAAAGCCCAACUCGGAGCUGAAGGACACAUCAAAGUGAAGAUGCGUCUUGGUUAAGCGUUGACGAGUUGUGGUAAUGGGUGUGGGUUUUCUCACCUCCACAUUGCGGGGGACUUCACACUUUGUGUGAGGAAACCUUUUGACAGGCUUCGGCUUGUCAUCAAAAACCGUGUGGACUGUUGGCGCAAGGGCCUCACCACAGGCAACAGUUGAGAACCACGCGCUCCAAUUAUUUUACUGUUUGUCUAACAUUCGCCUUUGAUCGAAAGGUCAUUGGCUUUAAAAAUUACAACUUUGAGCAAUGGAUAUCUCGGCUCUCGUAACGAUGAAGAACGCAGCGAACUGCGAUACGUAAUGCGAAUUGCAGAACUCAGUGAAUCAUCGAAAUUUUGAACGCACAUUGCGCUUCCGGACUUGUGCCGAAAGCACACCUCUUUGAGAAUCACUUCUAAAAAUCCUCAAAACCUAGUUUUGGGGGAGAAUGAGCGUGAUGCGAGCUUUCGAGUUUGCAUCUCGUUUGAAAUACAAGUGGGAACACGGAAUCGCUCAAGCACCUUGACAAACGACGACUUGAUACUCAGGCGUCUGUGUGCUGGUAUGCCUCUCAACCGCUUGCGAGGGGGAUGAAAAUGCCCUUGAACAAGUGAGACGGCUCGAUUCAGUGGCAGGUGAUAUUGGCGAAAGUAAUAUCUCCUGUUGGGAAUCGGAUGGCGCUCACUUUACCUCUGGUUGUUGAGUCCUAUCGCACCAUUACUAUGUGCCGCCAAUGUGUGUGAGACACAACUCGUUGUGCGUCUUGGGGCUUCACUCAUGAGCUUUGUCGUGUCCUGCAAACAAAUCGUUACAUCCCAUGGAGUUAGGCUGUUCGAUACUUAUCCAUUAAGGUGUAUCAUUCUUGGCCUCCAACUGGGAUCUUGCGUUACGCGAAAUUUGAUCUCAAAUGAGGUGAGAGGACCCGCUGAAUUUAAGCAUAUAAAUAAGCGGAGGAAAAGAAACUAACUAGGAUUCCCUUAGUAACUGCGAGUGAAGCGGGAAAAGCUCAACAUGAAAAUCUGGUGUACGUAUGUGCACCCGAAUUGUAGUCUAGAGAAGUGUAGUCAGUGGUCGUCCUGGGUCUAAGUCCUUUGGAAAAAGGCGACAAAGAGGGUGAGAUCCCCGUCUUUGGCCUGGAGAUUGCCACGUACGACUCACUUUCUAAGAGUCGGGUUGUUUGGGAUUGCAGCCCUAAGCAGGAGGUAAAUUCCUUCUAAAGCUAAAUAUAUACGAGAGACCGAUAGCGAACAAGUACCGCGAGGGAAAGAUGAAAAGAACUUUGAAAAGAGAGUUAAAAAGUGCUUGAAAUUGCUCAAAGGUAAAGAAUGGGCACCAGUCGAUGUUCUGCUAUAUUGGGCGACCAGUGGAGAGAGGCGUUUUAUGCAGGGAGCUUUACGGCCUCUGUGUGUUACGUUUUCCUUUUCACAGGUUGUUCAUCCUGUAGCAGAACGUGGGUCAGAAUCAGUUUCAUGUGCGCAGUAGAGACCAUCAGAGAAGGUAGCAGCUUUCGUGACUUUCGGGUUACUUGCUGUGUUAUAGCUCUGGUUGCGUUGACUGUGCAAGAGACUGAGGAGUUGUGCGUUGAGUACAACUGCACAUCCUGUGGUACCGGGGAGGUGGCUCCUGCUGGCUUGCGGUUAGUGGAGAAGAAACUUGUCCACUGAUUUAGCGAGCGGUACUGAGUUAUUUCUUCGCUGCAGUGAUGCGAUUCUGACGAAAUGGUUCUCAUUCACCCGUCUUGAAACACGGACCAAGGAGUCUUGCAUAUACGCGAGUGUUUGGGUGUAAAAACUCAAAUGCAAAAUUAACGUAAAGGUGGACUUGUGCCACUGAGGUGGGAUCCUAUUCUGCUUGAGCCCUCGUGGUUCCGGCAGCGAUGGGUGCACCAUCGACCGAUUUUUCACUUGUGAAAGAUUUGAGUAUGAGCGUAUCUGCUAGGACCCGAAAGGUGGUGAACUAAGCCUGGACAGGGCGAAGCCAGGGGAAACCCUGGUGGAGGCUCGUAGCGAUACUGACGUGCAAAUCGUUCGUCUGAUCUGGGUUUAGGGGCGAAAGACUAAUCGAACCACCUAGUAGCUGGUUCCCUC
RNAcentral lists this unclassified non-coding RNA (2276 nucleotides) under uncultured fungus. RNAcentral's name for it is "sequence contains 18S rRNA gene, ITS1, 5.8S rRNA gene, ITS2, 28S rRNA gene". The stretch from base 1088 to 2276 matches the Rfam family "Eukaryotic large subunit ribosomal RNA", at positions 1 to 961 of the family's 3401-position model. Lineage: Eukaryota; Fungi. The record is from RNAcentral.